UCUGAAAAACAAGUUAAUAAACUAAAACUUUCAACAACGGAUCUCUUGGUUCUGGCAUCGAUGAAGAACGCAGCGAAAUGCGAUAAGUAAUGUGAAUUGCAGAAUUCAGUGAAUCAUCGAAUCUUUGAACGCACAUUGCGCCCCUUGGUAUUCCGAGGG
This 159-nucleotide ribosomal RNA is filed under the name Neofusicoccum parvum. Its description in RNAcentral is "5.8S ribosomal RNA". The stretch from base 26 to 159 matches the Rfam family "5.8S ribosomal RNA", at positions 1 to 134 of the family's 154-position model. Rfam says of the family: 5.8S ribosomal RNA (5.8S rRNA) is a component of the large subunit of the eukaryotic ribosome. It is transcribed by RNA polymerase I as part of the 45S precursor that also contains 18S and 28S rRNA. Lineage: Eukaryota; Fungi; Ascomycota; Dothideomycetes; Botryosphaeriales; Botryosphaeriaceae. The record is from RNAcentral.